UUAAAAGAAAUCAAAAUUAGCGAUUUAUCACUGUUAAUGAUACUUAGGUAUUUAAGCCCUUUUAAA
Molecule: transfer RNA, 66 nt
Filed under: Salina celebensis
Lineage: Eukaryota; Metazoa; Arthropoda; Collembola; Entomobryomorpha; Paronellidae
Description: tRNA-Asn
Source: RNAcentral